This 468-nucleotide ribosomal RNA is filed under the name uncultured bacterium. Its description in RNAcentral is "partial 16S ribosomal RNA". It matches the Rfam family "Bacterial small subunit ribosomal RNA", at positions 28 to 507 of the family's 1533-position model. The record is from RNAcentral.
GACGAACGCUGGCGGCGUGCUUAACACAUGCAAGUCGAACGGAAAGGCCCUGCUUUUGUGGGGUGCUCGCGUGGCGAACGGGUGAGUAACACGUGAGUAACCUGCCCUUGACUUUGGGAUAACUUCAGGAAACUGGGGCUAAUACCGGAUAGGAGCUCCUGCUGCAUGGUGGGGGUUGGAAAGUUUCGGCGGUUGGGGAUGGACUCGCGGCUUAUCAGCUUGUUGGUGGGGUAGUGGCUUACCAAGGCUUUGACGGGUAGCCGGCCUGAGAGGGUGACCGGCCACAUUGGGACUGAGAUACGGCCCAGACUCCUACGGGAGGCAGCAGUGGGGAAUAUUGCACGAUGGGCGGAAGCCUGAUGCAGCAACGCAGCGUGCGGGAUGAAGGCCUUCGGGUUGUAGACCGCUUUCGCCUGUGACGAAGCGUGAGUGACGGUAAUGGGUAAAGAAGCACCGGCUAACUACGUG